This is a long non-coding RNA of Malaclemys terrapin pileata, 1260 nucleotides long. RefSeq lists it as uncharacterized. NCBI's taxonomy places the organism in Eukaryota, Metazoa, Chordata, Testudines, Emydidae. The record is from RefSeq and is a predicted model, not a curated record. The transcript is spliced from 5 exons.
CAGCCCCUGUUCUCCUAGCUAUACAGCCCCUAUGCAUCCCCACAGCCCCUGCCCCCCUCCUAGCUAUACAUCCCUACAGCCCCUAUAUAUUCCUACAGUCCCUGCUCUCCUAGCUAUACAUCUCUACAGCCCUGCUAUCCUCCUAGCCAAACAUUCCUACAGCCCCUAUAUAUUCCUAGUCCCUGCUCUCCUCCUAGCAAUACAUCUCUACAGUCUCUGCUCUCCUCCUAGCUAUACAUCCCUACAGCCCCUGUGCAGUUUCUAGCUAUACAUCCCUACAGCCCCUGAACCCCUCCUAGCUAUACAUCCCUGCAGCCCCUGUAACUCGUGUAGUUAUACAUCCGUACAGCCCCAGUCUCCCCCAGCUAUACAUUCCUAUACAUCCCUGCAGCCCCAUACCCCUCCUAGCUGUACAUCCCUACAGCCCCAGUACAUCUCUAUAGCCCCUUUACCCCUCCCUUUUAACAUCCCUCCCUCCUAUACUUUGUCACAGCCCCUAUUCCCCACCUCUCUAUAGAUUGAUACAGCCCUCCUAUCUAUACACUGCUAAAGCCCCUGUACACUUCCCUUCCCUACAUCCCUGCAGCCCCUCUUCACCUCCCUCUCCUACAUCUCUACAGCCCCUCCAGUUUCUCCACAAACCAUAUUUGGUGCAGUAGUAGUGCAAGCUUCCAUCCACUGCCCACCAAUAUGUCCACAGUCCUGACCUUGAGGCCCUAUAUCUAUGGGAUAAUGACAGUUCAUUCUCCAUUCCUUCUGAAUGUUUGUCUUUAAUGCGGAGACUGACAACAAGAGUACCAAUUGUGGCAGUGAUUUUGACACGUGACUUUUGCCCACUGGGAGAUAGACUGAACCAUUUCUUUACUAUUUAAACCUUUCCUGGGCAACAUAAGCUAACAUGAAAAAGACGUACUGGAAUAAGAGUCAACGAUGUUUAGACUGGUAUAACUUAAGUGCGUUUGGUUUGAAGCGUGUCAGAGACUCCCCUUGGGAUAACAAGCCUGGAACUUUCCGCUACAAAAGCAGAGAACAACAUGCAUCUGCUGGCCUUGUGAUCACCGAGCCUUGCUUCAUUACCCAGAGAUUUGAGAAGCUGGAGUGAAUGAUGCCAAAUGCCCCCAACCCUGGCCCCUUUUCAUUGGCUGGAGAUCCUCAGUGUGAAGAAUCUGUCUGAUCUAGCAAGUCAGGUCUUCACACGCAAGCCAGAAAAGUAGGUUCUCUUCGCUGUACUCUGUUCGAAGAAACUCUCUGAAAAGGUUC